UGUGAAAGAGGAGGAUGUUACAAUACGAAAAGAAGUAGAGGGUGAGGCUGUUACCGUGAAAGAAGAAGAGAAAGACGCGUUCAGAGUGAAAGAAGAGGAGGGUGUUACAGUAAAAGAGGAUGAUGUAGUUUUUGGAGGGGGAGAUGACUGUCACAUCGGAGGAAGAAGAGGAGGUUGGAGAUCUGCUUAACACCAGAGAGAGACGGGACUAUGUUGGGUCCUCUGGGGAGCCUCAACAACCUCAUGAUGCUGAAGAGGCAGAGAAGAGUCUCUCCAGAUCAGAACAUCUCAAGAAACACCCACACUUCAAAAUGUAGCGAUCUGUUUUCUACAAGUUGUGCUCUAACCAGGGAUGUACACAUUAUUCCCAUAUUCCGUGUGGUUUUUGAGUUAGUUUUAACAGCACGUGCAACCUCAUCUCCCUUCUCUCGCACAAAUUAUUUUGAAAUGACAUUUCCAUGUGUUUUUUGAGUUGUGUUAGUUUUUAAAACAAGCACCUUUUAAAAUGCUGUUGUUUUGACAAGUAGCAAUAAAUCACUGAUAUCAAUUAGGGGGAAAUCAGGCUGUACGUGCUGUACAAACUCACUAGAUUUGAAAACUCUCGUCCCCUUGGAACGAGCCCAAACAAAACUAAUCUCAAUACAAAAAAACGUGCAGUCAAAAUAAAUUGUGACACAUGGCAACGCACUGGCUAAACGCAAAACACAAAACUUUUUGACUGCCCACCCUUGAUAAAAAUCAGCAAGCAAGUUGUCCUUACCACAGACAUGUCUGAUUUCAAGAGGACUCCUGCAAUAUCCGUAGUAACUGUACGUGCUGUACAGCCUGAUUUCCCCCUAAUCGAUAUCAGUGAUUUAUUGCUACUUGUCAAAACAACAGCAUUUUAAAAGGUGCUUGUUUUAAAAAUUACAAGUAAUAUUAUUAUUGUGGCAGAUGUUUGUGUGUAUAGCCCAUUUUAUGUUUAGUUUUUCAAUUGAUCUGUUUCUGCAUGUUGGUUAUUGAUUUGGACACAUUAAAACUGAAAGUUACUACGGAUAUUGCAGGAGUCCUCUUGAAAUCAGACAUGUCUGUGAUAAGGACAACUUGCUUGCUGAUUUUUAUCAAGGGUGGGCAGUCAAAAAGUUUUGUGUUUUGCGUUUAGCCAGUGCGUUGCCAUGUGUCACAAUUUAUUUUGACUGCACGUUUUUUUGUAUUGAGAUUAGUUUUGUUUGGGCUCGUUCCAAGGGGACGAGAGUUUUCAAAUCUAGUGAGUUUUAGGAAGACGAGAGUUCUAGAAUGUUGACAGUAGACACUGUGUUUAUAUUGGUGAAGCAUUGUAGUUGAUUAUAAUGUGAAAUGGAAAUUGUUUUCUGUUGGUGGUGAGCAAACUUGUCCAACAAAAAUAUAGGAUAUAAUUGUUGUCUUAAGGGGGAAGGUGUUACAGGCUUUGGUUUUGAGGUUGGACUUUAGCACGUAUAGCUCAUUAGCAUGUAGGGAGAACCGAUUGGUGUCACCUUGUUAGUCAGUAUGUGCUACACCUGUGCUGGCGUGUCCAUCUCGUUAGUAGGAAGGUGUUUUUCCUGAGCUGGUCCAGGUUUUAUUUAAGAGUGUCUGGCCCAGUGCUCCAGGUGUCUUCAUAGAUGUGGAGAGUCAACACCUUUAGUUGCUCCAUUUUUUGGUUUGCUUCCUGUCUUAGUUUGGUGUGGCUUUUUCUUUUUUUUUGCCUCUUCUUGGGCAGAUUUAGUGGGUCUCAUGGUGGGUGUCUUUUAGGUCCCAGUUGUUGUUACUAGAAAACUUUCAGUGGACACCCUCAGUGUCUUUCAGAGCCACUCCUAAAACCUGUUUAGUUUUGGUUGUUGUUAGUUCCCUCUUCUGUUUGAGGGACAUUUUUGGUUUUCUUGCUGGAGAAAGUAACAUCAAACAAUGAAGACAAGAUAUUUUGGGUUGGAUAUUGCAGUGAAUUGUUAAUAUUUUAAAUCGAUGACAUUUACUUAGAAUGCUCAUUAGUCUUCCAGUUUAGUUUCAGUUAUUCUGUUUCUCUUAUGUUUGUAUUAAAUAUGUUUAUUUUCAUUGUUUUUUUCCUGUGAAGCCAUUGUGUUGCAUCCAUGUCUGAAAUGUGCUGCAUAAAUAAAGCUUGAUUUAAACAUUA
Long non-coding RNA from Oncorhynchus kisutch (coho salmon), 2128 nucleotides. RefSeq lists it as uncharacterized. The transcript is spliced from 2 exons. The record is from RefSeq and is a predicted model, not a curated record. Lineage: Eukaryota; Metazoa; Chordata; Actinopteri; Salmoniformes; Salmonidae.